Molecule: ribosomal RNA, 297 nt
Filed under: uncultured Streptococcus sp.
Lineage: Bacteria; Bacillati; Bacillota; Bacilli; Lactobacillales; Streptococcaceae
Description: partial 16S ribosomal RNA
Rfam family: Bacterial small subunit ribosomal RNA
Source: RNAcentral
AAGUCCCGCAACGAGCCGCAACCCCUAUUGUUAGUUGCCAUCAUUCAGUUUGGGCACUCUAGCGAGACUGCCGGUAAUAACCGGAGGAAGUGGGAUGAUGUCAAAUCAUCAUGCCCUUAUGACCUGGGCUACACACGUGCUACAAUGGUUGGUACAACGAGUUGCGAGUCGGUGACGGCGAGCUAAUCUCUUAAAGCCAAUCUCAGUUCGGAUUGUAGGCUGCAACUCGCCUACAUGAAGUCGGAAUCGCUAGUAAUCGCGGAUCAGCACGCCGCGGUGAAUACGUUCCCGGGCCUU